Molecule: unclassified non-coding RNA, 284 nt
Filed under: fungal sp.
Lineage: Eukaryota; Fungi
Description: partial internal transcribed spacer region
Rfam family: Eukaryotic small subunit ribosomal RNA (bases 1-46)
Source: RNAcentral
AAGUCGUAACAAGGUUUCCGUAGGUGAACCUGCGGAAGGAUCAUCAGUGAUUGUCUCUUGAUGGAGACGUUAAAACUCACAACGGCCGAUUUUUGCAUAUUGGGACGAGGAGCGAUGGCAGUGGUUGGGAGUGGAGCGGGCGCGGCAGAUUUUUUCUGUCGCGCCCGGGGCACUCGUCGACCUGCCGCGCUGCUCCCUACUAUAAAACUACACCCAUUGAAAAAACAGUCAAAACAAUAAAAUCCAAAAAAAUACAACUUUCAACAAUGGAUCUCUUGGCUCUU